RNAcentral lists this ribosomal RNA (561 nucleotides) under uncultured bacterium. RNAcentral describes it as "bacterial SSU rRNA". It matches the Rfam family "Bacterial small subunit ribosomal RNA", at positions 261 to 834 of the family's 1533-position model. The record is from RNAcentral.
AAGCCUACCAAGGCGACGACGGGUAGCCGGCCUGAGAGGGCGACCGGCCACACUGGGACUGAGACACGGCCCAGACUCCUACGGGAGGCAGCAGUGGGGAAUCUUGCGCAAUGGGCGAAAGCCUGACGCAGCGACGCCGCGUGGGGGAUGAAGGCCUUCGGGUUGUAAACCCCUUUCAGCAGGGACGAAGCGAAAGUGACGGUACCUACAGAAGAAGGACCGGCUAACUACGUGCCAGCAGCCGCGGUGAUACGUAGGGUCCAAGCGUUGUCCGGAAUUAUUGGGCGUAAAGGGCUUGUAGGCGGUCCGUCGCGUCAGAAGUGAAAACUCAGGGCUCAACCCUGAGCCUGCUUUUGAUACGGGCGGACUAGAGGGAUGCAGGGGAGAACGGAAUUCCUGGUGGAGCGGUGGAAUGCGCAGAUAUCAGGAGGAACACCGGUGGCGAAGGCGGUUCUCUGGGCAUUACCUGACGCUGAGAAGCGAAAGCGUGGGGAGCAAACAGGCUUAGAUGCCCUGGUAGUCCACGCCGUAAACGGUGGGCACUAGGUGUGGGGGACAUUC